AUACUUAACUGAUAGGGGAGAUACCACGAUCAUGAAGGUGGUUUCCCCAGACCAAGGCUUAUCCAUAGAACUCCAGUUGUGCUGACCCCUGCAAUUUCUCCAAAUGCAGGAGGAAACUUGACUGCAUAAUUUAUGGUAGUGGGGAACUGUGCUCGUCCUCUCCCCUU
RNAcentral lists this small nuclear RNA (167 nucleotides) under Dasypus novemcinctus (nine-banded armadillo). RNAcentral's name for it is "U1 spliceosomal RNA (ENSDNOG00000029359.1)". It matches the Rfam family "U1 spliceosomal RNA". From Rfam's summary of the family: U1 is a small nuclear RNA (snRNA) component of the spliceosome (involved in pre-mRNA splicing). The record is from RNAcentral. Lineage: Eukaryota; Metazoa; Chordata; Mammalia; Cingulata; Dasypodidae.